UUGACCUCAAAUCGGGUGAGACUACCCGCUGAACUUAAGCAUAUCAAUAAGCGGAGGAAAAGAAACUAACAAGGAUUCCCCUAGUAACUGCGAGUGAAGCGGGGAAAAGCUCAAAUUU
This 118-nucleotide ribosomal RNA is filed under the name uncultured Russulaceae. Its description in RNAcentral is "partial 28S ribosomal RNA". It matches the Rfam family "Eukaryotic large subunit ribosomal RNA", at positions 1 to 116 of the family's 3401-position model. The record is from RNAcentral. Lineage: Eukaryota; Fungi; Basidiomycota; Agaricomycetes; Russulales; Russulaceae.